GAGCCUCCUGCUGGUUAUUUUGAUCCAUACUUUGCAAAUCUCCAGGAGGGCUUUAAUUCAACGUUUGAAGCUUUUUGACAGCAAGUGAUGGAUAAUUUGCAGAGCAUGCAAGACAAUAUGAGAACUCACAUCAACAACCGGAUCAUUGGUUUUGGACAUGACAUCCAUUUUACCAUGUAUGAGCCCAUGAUGACUAGGUUGAAAAAUGUUCAGGAUGGUCUUCACAAUGACAUUGGAGCUUUGGGUGCUCGGCUUGACACUAUGAGUCUCAGUGGUUCUACUUCUCAGCUUGAUGAGCGCCAACAGAAACUUGAGCACGACAUGAACACUCUCUCAUCCAGUUUCUCCAGCUUCAGUGAUCAUUUCUACAGUAUCUUUCCAGCUCCUACUCCGCCUCCUAACUUCUACCCUCACCAGCCGUACUAUCCUCCUCC
Molecule: long non-coding RNA, 434 nt
Filed under: Setaria viridis
Lineage: Eukaryota; Viridiplantae; Streptophyta; Magnoliopsida; Poales; Poaceae
Description: long non-coding RNA (SVIR_LNC001879)
Source: RNAcentral